Molecule: unclassified non-coding RNA, 240 nt
Filed under: soil metagenome
Description: partial contains 5.8S ribosomal RNA, internal transcribed spacer 2, and large subunit ribosomal RNA
Source: RNAcentral
AACAUCGCGCACCUGCGGGAACCUGCGGAGGGAUCAUUAAAAAUUUAAUUAUCCUACUUAAACUAUAUGGAUAAUAAAAUCCAUAUUCAUUUCAUGUGCAUCUAUCGAUCGUAUACUUUGACAGAUUUUUUUCCUUCUUUCUUGAUCUUUAUUUCAGAAAGAUGGAGAGAAUUCGAAUCUUCGGGGGUCUGUCAAAGUUUUCCUUUUUUCUUCUCCUGAAUCCUUUAAAUUCCGAAAACC